Molecule: long non-coding RNA, 2555 nt
Filed under: Sus scrofa (pig)
Lineage: Eukaryota; Metazoa; Chordata; Mammalia; Artiodactyla; Suidae
Description: lncRNA (ENSSSCG00015054868.1)
Source: RNAcentral
GGAACAUCGGAUUACUCAUCUGGUGGCAGGUGGGUGUCGGAGCUGGCUGUGGACCCCACCGUCUGUAGCCAGUCCGCAGCAGCUUUCCUCUCUGGCAAACUCACAGCAAGCAUGCAGGGUGAUAAAACGGCAGUGACAAAUCCAGUGCAAUCAGGUGGGAAAUCCCCCCUGAGUAAUAACACCUCCUCAUCGCUCAUCCCGACCUCUUCCCCUGAGCCCCGCGUCUGCCGCUGAGAACUCAGCGCUGUUUUACCUUCAGCCCUGAGCUCCGCACAGGAAAAAGAAGAGAAAAGUGAGACACGGGAGUCUGGAGGAUCUCAAUCAAUGGUCAGAAAGGAGUACCCAGAAUGUCUACUGAUUGCCUCACUCCACGCAGAAUAUGCAACAUUCAUCCUUUCUCUAUCGCACCCUCCCUGCAUCUCCCAUCAUUCUUGACUCAGAGAAGAAGGCGUCAAGCAUUCUUUCAAGUACCUUCCCCAGGGUUGUCAUCAACUUAACUCCUCUUCAGUUUCCACUGCUACUAGUAAAGUAAUCAUGAUUUACGAAGAAUCCAUUAUGGAAAAAUUUUGCAUCUAUUAAUUAUCUGACUUAAUCUUUACCAGAUCGUUAUUAAGCAAGAAUUACUAUUACCCUGAUUUUCACAGAUGAGGAAAUUGAGGAUAAGGAAAUUUAGGAACCUGCCUAGAGUUACACAACAAGGAAGUUGCAGAGGGGAGGGUUUUUGCCAAGGUUUCUAUGAUUCCAAUGUUAUCACUUUUCUAAUGCAUCUGCUGACCGAGACUGAAGAAUCAACUACCUCCUCCAGAAGGUCAGUCACCCAAGAAAUCUCUGGGACUGAGGAGAACGGGGGAACAGGAGACAGAUCGGAGAGGCUGGGACAUGGAGAUUUGCUUCAUAUGCAAAGAACUCAUCUCCUAGAAUUUUGCAGCAUCUUCCAGAGUCUAAGCUUGUGUUUUGACGUGCCCUUUCCAAGACAAGGGGAUACGUGAAGCUCAGUGAAUCAGGAGCGUUUACGGAGGAGAAAGAAAAUAAGAUCUUCUCCCCAGCUAAAAAUCCAGGCAUUGUCCUUGGCUGGAAAACCUCUCUUGGAUUGUAUGGACAGACUGAAAAUACAUCUUAGCAUCCAAACAUAGACAGCCAGGGCAUGGACUCAGGCUUGAUGCCCAAAGAGAUCCUCAUCAUCAUACCUUAGAAGUACCACAUCCUUUGUUCCUCCUGGCUAAACCCCUUCAGCCAACAUCCCUGCCUGCAGGGUAAGCAAUUUACUUACAGUUAAACUGCUAAUAAGUAGGGAAUCAUGGAUCAAUCAGAAACACUAAAUAUUUCAAAAUAUUUAGGGUCAAUAUUUCAAAAAACAUUGCAACAUUGGUACAUUUACCUGCUACAAGUUUGCAUGGGCAGGAACCAUAUCAAGUCCAUUAAAAUUCCUGAUUUCCUUAUGUCUAGCAAAAUCUUUGAUCACUAGUUAUGUAUAUUUCAGUUAAUAAAAAUGAAGAGCAUGAGUACUCUUCCAUAAGAAAUGCAGCGUGUUGGGAUAUACAGAAUUUUGCAAAACAGAGUAGAAUGGGGAUGGUUAUCAUAACACAGUGGGCCCAUCAGUGUAGUGGAGUUCAACAUUUUUGAUUCCUUCCAAAUUUCCAGAUUUCAUCUUUGAUGUUGGGAAUGUAAAGACUGAUAUAGCACAAUCAUGGUCCUCCAGAAAUGUAUCAGAUUGUUGGGGAAACAAAUAGAUGCAGAAAUAGUUAUCUGCGUGAUACAGCAAAUACAAACAUGUGCAAGAUGCUCCAAGGAUGUAGAAAGAGAAGCCCUGGUUGGGCUUGUGUGGAGGAGAUGUGGGAAAGGGGGCUUUCUCAAGGAAGCGAUGUCUGAACUCAGACUUGAAGGAACAGCAGAGCUUACCCUCCCCACAGGAGGUUGUACUGUACAGCAUGAGCAAAGAAAGGAGGAAGGUGUAAAGACAUUACCUUUGGUGCAAAGAUUGGCAUAGCUGUCCCACAACCUAUUUGAAUUAACAUUUGUCAAUGAGACACCAACAUCAAAUGCUAUCACUGACAUGUGGAAUCUAAAAAAAGAACACAAUGAACUUCUUUGCAGAACAGAUACUGACUCACAGACUUUGAAAAACUUACGGUUUCCAAAUGAGACCGGUUAGCGGGUGGGGGGAUGCACUGAGGGUUUGGGAUGGAAAUGCUGUAAAAUUUGGUUGUGAUGAUUGUUGUACACCUAUAAAUGUAAUAAAAUUCAUUAAGUAAUAAAAAAGGAGAAAAAAAACUUUACAAUGAUAUAUAAAAAAUAAUAAUGUUUAUCAUGGUAGGUCUCCAUGCAUUAAGAAUUUACUGAGAGGCUAUUCUAUGCCAAGCCUAACAGUGGGCACCCAGGGUGGAUAGCUCAAAUGUCAUGUCUCCAAAAAUCCACAUUUCAGGAGAGAAAACGAUGCAACACUGUGCAAUGAGCUUGAAAGACCUCACCCAUAAUACAUGCUGGACCAGGAGCUUUAUUUGGUAGAAAUGCUUUGAGAAUAUUUUUUUUGUUUUUAUCUUGCCACUGGAUGUGUC